UACUUCAUCAACCGAAAAGGUUUUACUUAACUGUAGAUUAAUAGGGAAUCGUGUGCAAAUCACGAACUGUCGCGCAACUGUAAGUAACACACCAAAAGUUUUUAUCCUAGUAUAUCCACUGCCAAAAGCGGGAAGGAUGAUAAAAGCUGUUAUAAGUCAGGAGACCUGCCUAUUCGGAUAUUGACAA
RNAcentral lists this non-coding RNA (187 nucleotides) under Tenacibaculum mesophilum. Lineage: Bacteria; Pseudomonadati; Bacteroidota; Flavobacteriia; Flavobacteriales; Flavobacteriaceae. The record is from RNAcentral.